Molecule: ribosomal RNA, 484 nt
Filed under: uncultured bacterium
Lineage: Bacteria
Description: partial 16S ribosomal RNA
Rfam family: Bacterial small subunit ribosomal RNA
Source: RNAcentral
AUUGAACGCUGGCGGCAGGUCUAACACAUGCAAGUCGAGCGGAUGAAGGGAGCUUGCUCCUGGAUUCAGCGGCGGACGGGUGAGUAAUGCCUAGGAAUCUGCCUGGUAGUGGGGGAUAACGUCCGGAAACGGGCGCUAAUACCGCGUACGUCCUGAGGGAGAAAGUGGGGGAUCUUCGGACCUCACGCUAUCAGAUGAGCCUAGGUCGGAUUAGCUAGUUGGUGGGGUAAAGGCCUACCAAGGCGACGAUCCGUAACUGGUCUGAGAGGAUGAUCAGUCACACUGGAACUGAGACACGGUCCAGACUCCUACGGGAGGCAGCAGUGGGGAAUAUUGGACAAUGGGCGAAAGCCUGAUCCAGCCAUGCCGCGUGUGUGAAGAAGGUCUUCGGAUUGUAAAGCACUUUAAGUUGGGAGGAAGGGCAGUAAGUUAAUACCUUGCUGUUUUGACGUUACCAACAGAAUAAGCACCGGCUAACUUCGUG